Molecule: ribosomal RNA, 830 nt
Filed under: uncultured bacterium
Lineage: Bacteria
Description: bacterial SSU rRNA
Rfam family: Bacterial small subunit ribosomal RNA
Source: RNAcentral
UGGUGGCGAGUGGCGAACGGGUGAGUAACACAUCGGAACGUGCCCAGUCGUGGGGGAUAACGCAGCGAAAGCUGUGCUAAUACCGCAUACGAUCUAUGGAUGAAAGCGGGGGACCGCAAGGCCUCGCGCGAUUGGAGCGGCCGAUGGCAGAUUAGGUAGUUGGUGGGGUAAAGGCUCACCAAGCCGACGAUCUGUAGCUGGUCUGAGAGGACGACCAGCCACACUGGGACUGAGACACGGCCCAGACUCCUACGGGAGGCAGCAGUGGGGAAUUUUGGACAAUGGGCGCAAGCCUGAUCCAGCCAUUCCGCGUGCAGGAUGAAGGCCCUCGGGUUGUAAACUGCUUUUGUACGGAACGAAAAGCCUUCUUCUAAUACGGGAGGGUCAUGACGGUACCGUAAGAAUAAGCACCGGCUAACUACGUGCCAGCAGCCGCGGUAAUACGUAGGGUGCAAGCGUUAAUCGGAAUUACUGGGCGUAAAGCGUGCGCAGGCGGUGAUGUAAGACAGAUGUGAAAUCCCCGGGCUCAACCUGGGAACUGCAUUUGUGACUGCAUCGCUGGAGUGCGGCAGAGGGGGAUGGAAUUCCGCGUGUAGCAGUGAAAUGCGUAGAUAUGCGGAGGAACACCGAUGGCGAAGGCAAUCCCCUGGGCCUGCACUGACGCUCAUGCACGAAAGCGUGGGGAGCAAACAGGGUUAGAUACCCUGGUAGUCCACGCCCUAAACGAUGUCAACUGGUUGUUGGGUCCUCACUGACUCAGUAACGAGGCUAACGCGUGAAGUUGACCGCCUGGGGGAGUACGGCCGCAAGGUUGAAACUCAAAAGGAAUU